CCUACGGGUGGCAGCAGUGAGGAAUAUUGGUCAAUGGGCGCGAGCCUGAACCAGCCAAGUAGCGUGAAGGAUGACUGCCCUACGGGUUGUAAACUUCUUUUAUAAAGGAAUACAGUGAGGCACGUGUGCCUUUGUGUAUUUACUUUAUGAAUAAGGAUCGGCUAACUCCGUGCCAGCAGCGGCGGUAAUACGGCGGAUCCGAGCGUUAUCCGGAUUUAUUGUGUUUAAAGAGAGCGUAGAUGGGUUGUUAAGUCAGUUGUGAAAGUUUGCGGCUCAACCGUAAAAUUGCAAUUGAUACUGGCAGUCUUGAGUACAGUUGAGGUAGGCGGAAUUCGUGGUGUAGCGGUGAAAUGCUUAGAUAUCACGAAGAACUCCGAUUGCGAAGGCAGCUCACUAGACUGCCACUGACACUGAUGCUCGAAAGCGUGGGUAUCAAACAGGAUUAGAUACCCUAGUAGUC
This 460-nucleotide ribosomal RNA is filed under the name uncultured bacterium. RNAcentral describes it as "partial 16S ribosomal RNA". It matches the Rfam family "Bacterial small subunit ribosomal RNA", at positions 338 to 795 of the family's 1533-position model. The record is from RNAcentral.